CUCCCGGCUUCACCUGUGGUGUAGGGAAUCCGUCCAGAGUGACCUCCGAGGCUGCUGUCGGUGUGUGCGUGUGUGCGUGCGGGUCACUGCCAGGGUUGGCUUUUAGGCCAAAGAGGCUCUUUGAAUCAGGUCCAGUAUAAAUUUACUCCUAAUGAUUUCAAACCCAUCAGUAAAAUAUGAAGAUGCUGUGGAACCUGUGUGUACCACGAUGAGGGGCUUGGCAGCCUGUGGGAGCUGUAUGGGGUGCAGGGCAGUGCAUGAAGCUGGAGCCCAAGAGGCAGUGAUGCCGGGAAUGCAGGACCCUGGGUACAUGAGUUGGGCUUAGGGUUUCAGUCUGUACCUGUAAAAUGAGAAAAUGAAUUAAAUGUCUCAAAUAUCUACACA
Molecule: long non-coding RNA, 384 nt
Filed under: Heterocephalus glaber (naked mole-rat)
Lineage: Eukaryota; Metazoa; Chordata; Mammalia; Rodentia; Bathyergidae
Description: lncRNA (ENSHGLG00000025867.2)
Source: RNAcentral